This 1583-nucleotide long non-coding RNA is filed under the name Canis lupus familiaris (dog). RNAcentral describes it as "lncRNA (ENSCAFG00000055402.1)". The record is from RNAcentral. Lineage: Eukaryota; Metazoa; Chordata; Mammalia; Carnivora; Canidae.
AUUUUUUAAAGAUUUUAUUUAUUUAUUCAUGAGACACACACACACACACACACACACACAGGCAGAGACACAAGCAGAGGGAGAAGCAGGCUCCAUGCAGGGAGCCUGACGUGGGACUUGAUCCUGUGUCUUCAGGACCAUGCCCCGGGCUGAAGGCAGCGCUAAACCGCUGGGCCACCGAGGUUGCCCCCCAUAUGAUUUUUUAAAAUCCUUUCUCACUCUCCAUGUAAUGGUGUGUCUUGGAAUUGGAAAUGAGGGGCAAUUAACAGAGGCCAGCCUGGGACCCUAAGCAAUUUCUGAUCUUCCUGAACCCUAUCCCAUAGGCCUCAGUUUUCUCCUCUAUAGUCUGGGCCCCUAAAACCACCAGAGUGCUUUGUGGUGGGAAAUAGCAGAGACCAAAGCAGGGGACUGAAAACAAAAAGAAACCCCAAAUUUGACAUUUCCGGGUAGUUGUGUUAUCCAGAGCCAAGACCACAAUCACCUCUGCCCCCAACCCAACUUUGACACCCUUCCCUCUGCCACUCCCUUGGGUGGCCUUUGCCCAUCCUGGGAAAGCUCCAAAGCUCCUCCUCCACCCCAUUGCAUCGCAAAGGGAGGACAGAGGCACAAGGAAAUGGAGAGAAACCCAGACAGGACCAGAGAACCAGACAGAGCCCUAAAGAGAAAGAAGCUAAAAGAAGAGGAAAAUCAAAAAGCAAGAGGAGGCAACAGGCCAUGAAGGACACUGAGAUUCAGGGCCUCACAGACAGAGGCCAAAGAGGAGAGAGUCAGAUCUAGCCAGGUGAGCAGUGGCAGCCACUGGACACAAGGUGAGGGCAUAGCAUGUGAGUUCCCUGAAGGUCCUGGGGCACAUCCAUUUAUAGGCCAACCCCUCCAGUUAUGUUCACUGGCACUUCAGUCCUAGCUUUUUAGGACCCAGGACUAUCUACCUUCUAGCCAAGCCCAGCCCAAUCUAGCCAGAUGUUUGGUGGGUGCAGCUGCCAGCUGGAGCAGCAGGCCCCUACAGGCCCUGGGGAGUAGGCUAGAGAGGCGGCUACCUGGAAGGGGGCAGGCAGGGCUCCCACUCUGGACUUGGUGCCCCCAUAUCACUUUCUUCAAAUGCCCAGAAGAGGGUCCAUGGCAAGAAUGGUUCUCUGCCUUCCAGAUACGGCUCAGAGGACUCAGAAUCCAAGGACUCUCCUCCCAACAACUGGCUUACCCAUCUGCUGGAGGUGACCUCCUAGUGCUAUGUGUCUGGUCCUCCUCUGCCAAAUGAAUCACCUAGAGUAAGGGAAGAAGCAAGGGAGAGGCUGCAUGCUUCCUCCUCCAUGAGACUAAGAUACUGUAGCCAUACGUGGAAGCAUGUGUGUCAGACUUAUAUAUCCCAGCUUAAGGAGCCUGAAACUUGGCUUUUUCUCUGAAAUUUAAAAAUAAAUUAAAAAAAAAAUGCUUGGGUGGCUUAGUGGUUGAGCAUCUGCCUUUGGCUCCAGUCAUUAUCCUGGGGUCCUGGGAUCGAGUCCCACAUCGGGCUCCCCUCAGGGAGCCUGCUUCUUCCUCUGCCUAUGUCUCUGCCUCUCUUUGUGUGUCUCUCAUGAAUCAAUAAA